AAUUACGAGUUGGUCAUAGAUGGACGCUUUGGAUCGUUAGAUCCGGAUCCAAUACCUUCUUGUUAAAAUUAUAUAGAGGCGAAAUGUUCAAAUCUUUAUUCUUUUGGAAAGAAGAAAGAAUCACAAAGUUGUUGAGGUUAAUUCACUUAGAUGUUAGUGGCACUUGUCCACAAACAUAAUACUACUCAUGUUGGAUAACAUUCACCGAAGAUCACUCUCGGUUGGACUAUAGUUUAUUUUGAAUAAACACAAGCCCGAAUACUUUGCAAAAUGUUUCAAAGAAUUCAAGAAAUGUAAGUUGAUGAGUAAGACAUCUAAAGUAUUUACCUUCUUAGAUUUGAUCCAAGGAAAAGUAACACUUUAGAUGAGUUUCCUUGAAAGAUAUCAAGGAAAAUAGCAUCAUAAGAUAAUGAAUUUCUCCUUUAGGAGAAGAACAAACUCGAAUAAGAUUUAGUUCGUUAGAUGUUAUCUAUUACCCAUAUAUAGGAUAUAUACUUCUAAAACAAUAUGAUUGUAAAUUAGAAGAUCUUCCAAUAUUUUCAUGACUCCAUAAGAUGUAGUUGGAAAGAAAGACAAAUCUUAAAAAUGUUCAGAUUUGGGGUUGUGUGCUAAUAAACUAUAUUUGUUUGAUAACAAUCUUGAGGGAUAUCCUUAAAUUAGCUUUUGGAUAUCGCUUCUAUAAACCAACUAACAAAUGUUGUUUUGUUGGGUAGUUCAUUAUAAUCCUACAAUGUGAUUUGCCUAAAUGCAAAUGAACGAGAGAUAGAACUCAAAGAAUAGGUUCUUUGAGAGACAAGAUAGUAAUCAACAAAUAUAACAACCUAGUUCCUAUACCACAAGCUCCAAGGUAGUCGAUAAGGAUUUAAAAACCGUCUCAGUUGAAUGGUUUGAACUUUAUGACUAUCUCAUAGAGUUGCACCUCUUAAUUCGAAAGAAAUAAGAAUGAAAAUCCUUAUGACUACAUUGAGUGUAU
Molecule: long non-coding RNA, 973 nt
Filed under: Malus domestica (apple)
Lineage: Eukaryota; Viridiplantae; Streptophyta; Magnoliopsida; Rosales; Rosaceae
Description: long non-coding RNA (MDOM_LNC002925)
Source: RNAcentral